This 253-nucleotide ribosomal RNA is filed under the name uncultured bacterium. RNAcentral's name for it is "partial 16S ribosomal RNA". It matches the Rfam family "Bacterial small subunit ribosomal RNA", at positions 524 to 776 of the family's 1533-position model. The record is from RNAcentral.
UACAGAGGGUGCAAGCGUUAAUCGGAAUUACUGGGCGUAAAGCGCGCGUAGGUGGUUUGUUAAGUUGGAUGUGAAAUCCCCGGGCUCAACCUGGGAACUGCAUUCAAAACUGACAAGCUAGAGUAUGGUAGAGGGUGGUGGAAUUUCCUGUGUAGCGGUGAAAUGCGUAGAUAUAGGAAAGAACACCAGUGGCGAAGGCGACCACCUGGACUGAUACUGACACUGAGGUGCGAAAGCGUGGGGAGCAAACAGG